AUACGGAGGAUGCGAGCGUUAUCCGGAUUUAUUGGGUUUAAAGGGAGCGUAGGUGGAUGUUCAAGUCAGCUGUGAAAUGCCGUCGCUUAACGUCGGACUUGCAGUUGAAACUGGAUAUCUUGAGUGUACAAGAGGGAAGUGGAAUUCGUGGUGUAGCGGUGAAAUGCAUAGAUAUCACGAAGAACUCCGAUUGCGAAGGCAGCUUUCUUGGGUACAACUGACACUGAGGCUCGAAAGUGCGGGUAUCAAACAGGAUUAGAUACCCUGGUAGUCCGCACAGUAAACGAUGGAUACUCGCUGUCGGCGAUAGACAGUCGGCGGCCAAGCGAAAGCAUUAAGUAUCCCACCUGGGGAGUACGCCGGCAACGGUGAA
This 373-nucleotide ribosomal RNA is filed under the name uncultured bacterium. RNAcentral's name for it is "bacterial SSU rRNA". It matches the Rfam family "Bacterial small subunit ribosomal RNA", at positions 523 to 898 of the family's 1533-position model. The record is from RNAcentral.